AGUUACAGAAAGAACCCACUGCAGGGCGUCCAGUCACUUGCCCAGUGAAAAGACUGUAAUCAGACAACUUUAAUAAAGGGAGAGCAGGAGAGUGGUGACGAAUUUCCACAUUCCGAACAAGCUUGUCGAAAGAGGAGUGCAGGGAAGGAGCAAGAAUGAGGCACUGGAAGACGGCUGUAGGCGCAUGAUGUCACAAGUUAUUGGAAGAAAUCCCUCCAACCUAGGUUGGGACAGAUGAAGGCGGCGCUUAUUGGUGUUCACCAAAACACCAGCAUGGUGUACCAGCUUUGGCUAGAUGAUGCUCAGAACACCAGAGACUGGGUAAUUAAUAAAAAGAAGAAAUUGAUCUGGCCUACAGUUCUGGAGCCUUGGAAGUCCGAGAUCAAGGAGCUGCAUCUGGGUUCUAGGAUGCCUCAUAAAGGCCCGUAGUGUACUUUCUGUCUACUUCACUUAGCUCCGCAUUUGCAAUUUCUGUUAACAUGCAUACAGUUGAAUGGAUGGCCAGGAUCAAAGCUAUCUGCUGUGAGACACAAUGAGAAAUGCUUUUGUGUAAAGAUAAAUACCUGGAGUGGGAUUGCUAGAUCACAUGGAAAACACAGAUCCUGGUGCCGAACAUGAGGACAGGGCAGGCCGAAGGAGAAAGUGGAAGGAGGGGAGCUUCUCUCUCAGCCUCAUCCUUCUGGGCCUGGAUGCUGGAGAGUCAUGAGGUGCUUCAGAGUACUCUGGGUGAGGAGGGAAAGAUGGUGCCCACCACAUGGAGGCCAGCCUAGGUCUUGUAUGAAACCUGUGAGGCCAGCAGGAGCCAGGCCGUGGCCUGCUGACUGCAUCUGCCAGAUGACUACCAAUGUGUGAGUAAACCCAUUCUCAAGCCCAAGAGAACCUCUCAGCUGAACCAGGCCCAAGUUGCUCACCCACUGAACUGCCAGUUAAAUAAAUGGUGGUUGUUUUAAUCCACUAAAUGCUGGGAUGGUUUGUUAUACAGCAGUAGGUAUCAAUACAGUGUACUUGUCAAUCUAGGAAUUCCUGUCUUGUCAAAUCUGAGAAAAUUCUCGGUCACUGUCACUUCAAAUAUUACUUCUUUCCCAUUUUCUAUUCACUCAUUCCAAAACUCCUAGUGGAUGUCUUUUCUGUCAUUUCUGGUUCUGUCUUUUGUGAUCUUAAACUUUCAUUCAUUGUUUUUCCAUUUUUACUUCCGUGUUACAUUUUGAGUCAUUUCCUUAGUUCCAGUUUGCUUAUUUUCUAUUCAACCAUUAAAUAUUUCUAUUUAGUUUUAAGUUUCAGUGGCUAUAAGUUUCAUUUAUAAAAGAACUAUUUGGUUAUUUUCUAAAUCUGCAUUUUGUUUUCACAUGUUUUUCUGUUUUUUAAUUUGUAUUUUCCUUUGCCCUUGUAAAUCAUUUAAAAUGUACUUAUUUUAUAAUCAUCUGUGGCUUGAUCUGUUUCUUUACUUCUUGGGCAUUACUUUUUCUGUUAAUUUCAUGAUCUGACCCUCAAGGUGGUUUCCUCCUAUGGUUUGUAAUUUUUAUUAUGAGCUUAUUUUCAGCAGGGAUUUCUCCCCUCUGGUGAAGAUCUGUAUGCCUUGGGUAAUGUGAUUGUCACUUCACUAUGCCUGCAAGUUUGCUUCUGAUGGCAUCCUACCGAUAUCACCAACUCUCAACCAGCUCUAAUGUUUCUUGGUAUUUCUGCCCACAGUGAAAAUUCAGAGCUCACUUCAAUGCAUGGCAUGGGCUUGGCUUCAAGUUUUUCUGUAUGACCUUUUUUUAAAUUUAUUUUUAUUUUUUUAAACCUAUAGCCCAAGGACACGGGAGCUUUUUUUCCUGAUUUGUUUUUGCCAACACUGUAGCCCUCAGGAACUCAGAUUUUGCAAAGUGCUCAAUUCCAGUUGCCUUCCUUACUCACACCAGAGACAAUAUUUUAUUGGCCUGCAAGGGUGUUAAAAUCCCAAGGGUGUUAAAAUCCCCAGAUCUCCAGGGCCUAUCAUUGGUCCAAACCCUGCAGAGGCUACAGUGACAUUAGCCCCUACUUACUGCCCAGCCUCUGAGCUCCCUCUUUGUUUCUAGAAUCUGGGGAUUUCCCUUUCUCUCUGUCUAGAGAUUGUUGUGCUGGACCCCUAUUGACUCCAAUAGGAAUGGCACCAGGUUCAAGAGGCCAAAGAAGAGACCUGGAGCCAGCAAAUGAGACAUAAGAUUUGAUUUGGGGGAACUUAUGUACAGGGAUGGACUAGUGGCAGUGGGCUGGAUAAGAGAACCACAACUGCUUUCCAAAAGCCUGCAGUUUAUACAGCACCUUCACUCAGCACCCUCUCUCCAGCAACAUCCACAUGGCAACCCCCAUUUCCUAGGCUAAGUUAUUGCUGUCAGAUGUGUUUGCCAUACAGGCUGCUGUACAGAGUAUGCUUAAGUUAUUGCUGUCAGGUACAUCCACCGUAUAUAUACAUACACAUGUACGUAUAUAUACACAUACAUGUAUGUGUGUGUGUACAUAUUUGUACUCAUAUACAUGUGUAUAUAUAGAUAUAUAAAAAAAUUUUCUCUGUGUUUCCCUGUAACAGUAACUGAAGAGGGAAUUCUUCUAUAUAAUCUCAGUCCACUAUAUUGCUAGAAGUUCUCUUCUCUAUACUUUUGAGAUAUGAAUUUUACCUUUCAAUAUUCUAAAAUUAUAACAAAGCUAUAAAUUUUGGGAAUUGGUAUAUGUUUGUUUUUAGAAAAAUUGUUAGAAACAUAAUAGCAAUGGGAUGCUUUAACAUGCUACCUUGAACCUUUACCAAAUCAAGAGAGUAAAAAUUAAGCACAAAAGAGGGAUCUAAUACUAUAAACAAGGUAGAUUUAAUACAUAUGUAUCAAACAUAGUAACCUAGAAGCAAUGAAUAUACAUUUUCUGGUGCUCAUUUAACAUUAACGACCUUCAAGAAGGCUUUAAACAGCAACAGAUAGAGUUGAGUUGCUUUGGCCUAUUGCUAAAGGCAUCUAACCCACCUGCUUUGUGGGAGGUCAUCUGCUUUGAAUCUCAACUGUAUCCAAGUCAGAUUUAAACUCUAUGGGGCAUUGGAAUUGUCCUCUGAAUCAUCUCCAACUCUGCAGGAUACAUAAUAGCACCACUUUGUUGUUCUGGAAUUUAAAGACAGGGUCUUAUUCAACUUUGGCUAUUUUUGUGCAGUCCAUGGAUCCUUGAAACAGGACAUUCUACUUUACCAAUAUCUGACUCAUAGAAGACCUAUCUAUAUACCUACCAGGUGGCUACUACCCAGUAACUCCUACCGCCAAUACCAUGACAUUUGUUUUGAAAACCUUAGCUUAUUGCAAUAUUGCUUAUAAUUAUGAAACCUUAGAAACAACUGAAAUGCCUAUCAAAGAGAGAAUUUAUAAAUAAAAUGUAACAUAUUCACGUUCUAUUUUGAUAUGAAUUACCAUAAUAUUCUAUUAGGAUAUGAAUUGUUAUAAUGGCCAUUAGAAGGAAUGGAUUGUUCCCAUAUAUAACAUAAUAUAUCCAUGUAUAAAGUAUCUAUAUAAUACCAACACGUAACAUAAUGUAAAGAAAAGAGAUUCAUGGAAUAAAAUGUGCAUGUCAUUGAUAUAAAUUUUAAAAACACAGAAAUAAUACAUUAUAUUAAGACUAUAUAUGUAUGUAAAAUUAUUACCAGUGGACUGAUUUGGAUAUACACUAAAUUCAUGCUACUU
This is a long non-coding RNA of Homo sapiens (human), 3674 nucleotides long. Ensembl annotates it as ZBED3 antisense RNA 1. Its record names the gene ZBED3-AS1. The record is from Ensembl. NCBI's taxonomy places the organism in Eukaryota, Metazoa, Chordata, Mammalia, Primates, Hominidae.